ACUUCCGAGAAUUUCGAUCUUUGGACGGCAGGAAGACGGCAAAGCCGACGGGACGAGGAGGUGAAACGGAGGAACGGAGGGACGGAGAGGCUCUCUGCAACGAAGGGAACCGAGUUCGCUGAAGAGGUCAUGGGAGAGGGCAGGUGGGACACGCAACUGAAAAUGUACACACGCGGACGAUAUAUGUGUCAUUGGUAGGUGGUAACGCGCGCAUACGAUGCACCGAUGUUACGCAUACACGUCCAGGGGUUAUCUUAGCUUCCGCCGCCUUCGUGCACCGCAUCUAUACGCAGUGACAAACGAUCCGAGGCGAUAUACCAGCGCAGACCUGGUAUACGUUCAACCGGCAUUAAAUUAUCAUUCCUUUUCAGGCAAUUUCUCGCGAUUAAGCUGCGCAGCUGCUGCGGAGCCGUAGACUUACAUCUCUCAUCCUUGGCGUAGAACUGCAGACUGGAAAAGUUUUCGCCAAGCUGCAGUGCCGGCUAAACCCCGGCUACACCUUCUUCGUUCCCCGAUACAUGCACGUCCUUAUGUGAGAUCGUCAAGAAUCAGCUAUGCAAUGCCCACGCUUAUAUUACAGGUGUACAGUCACCGUAUUACACGGAGUUGGAAAUUUCUUCAGGUAUUUUGAUUGACCUGUGACGAGAAGAAAUGUGUUGGUAUUUUUAUCGAAGGUUUAGACGCGCGAAAAUAAAAAUACGAACCGCAUCACGAAACACCGCAAAUUUUUUAUACGGUUGAAAGGAUGACUGUGACUCAUAGAUUUAUCCCUGUGAGAAAUUGAACGCCGCGUAAGAUAUUUAACCCAUUGUAAAAAUGUAUGGUUUUUAUCGGUUGUUUCUACUUUUGCUUGCUAUGAUUAUACAUUGUCUAUAAUGAUAUUAUGACU
Molecule: long non-coding RNA, 889 nt
Filed under: Neodiprion lecontei (redheaded pine sawfly)
Lineage: Eukaryota; Metazoa; Arthropoda; Insecta; Hymenoptera; Diprionidae
Description: uncharacterized LOC124293849, transcript variant X1
Source: RNAcentral